Molecule: ribosomal RNA, 364 nt
Filed under: uncultured bacterium
Lineage: Bacteria
Description: partial 16S ribosomal RNA
Rfam family: Bacterial small subunit ribosomal RNA
Source: RNAcentral
CCUACGGGAUGCAGCAGUGAGGAAUAUUGGUCAAUGGACGGAAGUCUGAACCAGCCAUGCCGCGUGCAGGAAGACGGCUCUAUGAGUUGUAAACUGCUUUUGUACAAGGGUAAACCUGGAUACGUGUAUUCAGCUGAAAGUACUGUACGAAUAAGGAUCGGCUAACUCCGUGCCAGCAGCCGCGGUAAUACGGAGGGUCCAAGCGUUAUCCGGAUUUAUUGGGUUUAAAGGGUGCGUAGGCGGAAUGACAAGUUAGAGGUGAAAUGUCCGGGCUUAACCCGGGAACUGCCUCUAAUACUGGUGAUCUAGAGAGUAGAUGAGGUAGGCGGAAUGGAUGGUGUAGCGGUGAAAUGCUUAGAGAUCA